This 438-nucleotide ribosomal RNA is filed under the name Leucopogon denticulatus. Its description in RNAcentral is "eukaryotic LSU rRNA". The stretch from base 57 to 212 matches the Rfam family "5.8S ribosomal RNA". The record is from RNAcentral. Lineage: Eukaryota; Viridiplantae; Streptophyta; Magnoliopsida; Ericales; Ericaceae.
UUCCUGGCCCGUUUUGCGGGCGGUGUUGGCGUAUGCAAUCUUUCGUACAACUAAACGACUCUCGGCAACGGAUAUCUCGGCUCUUGCAUCGAUGAAGAACGUAGCGAAAUGCGAUACUUGGUGUGAAUUGCAGAAUCCCGUGAACCAUCGAGUCUUUGAACGCAAGUUGCGCCUGAAGCCAUUAGGCCGAAGGCACGUCUGCCUGGGCGUCACGCGUUGCGUCACCCGCUCCCCCGUGCCCAAGCGGCCUUGUUGGGGCGUGGGUGGAUAUUGGCCCCCCGUUCACGUUUGGUGGUCGGUCGGCCUAAAAGAGAGUCCCUAACGACGGACAUCACGACAAGUGGUGGUUGCUAAAUCGUCGCGUCAUGUUGUGGAUGGCCAUUGUCUGUUGCGGGUUGGCUCGUUGACCCUGAAGGUGCCAGUAUCUGCGGCACCUCG